Molecule: ribosomal RNA, 301 nt
Filed under: uncultured bacterium
Lineage: Bacteria
Description: partial 16S ribosomal RNA
Rfam family: Bacterial small subunit ribosomal RNA
Source: RNAcentral
CAGUAGCCACGGUAAUACAGAGGGUGCGAGCGUUAAUCGGAUUUACUGGGCGUAAAGCGUGCGUAGGCGGCUAAUUGAGUCGGAUGUGAAAUCCCCGAGCUUAACUUGGGAAUUGCAUUCGAUACUGGUUAGCUAGAGUGUGGGAGAGGAUGGUAGAAUUCCAGGUGUAGCGGUGAAAUGCGUAGAGAUCUGGAGGAAUACCGAUGGCGAAGGCAGCCAUCUGGCCUAAUACUGACGCUGAGGUACGAAAGCAUGGGGAGCAAACAGGAUUAGAUACCCGCGUAGUCCCUGUCUCUUAUAC